Molecule: non-coding RNA, 164 nt
Organism: Chelonia mydas (Green sea turtle)
Lineage: Eukaryota; Metazoa; Chordata; Testudines; Cheloniidae
Source: Rfam
UAACUUGUGCUGCAGGGGAGACACCAUGAUCACAAAGGUGGUUUUCCCAGGGCGAGGCUCAUCCAUUGCACUGCGGGUGUGCUGACCCCUGCGAUUUCCCCAAAUGCGGGAAACUCGACUGCAUAAUUUGUGGUAGUGGGGGACUGCGUUCGCGCUCUCCCCUG